RNAcentral lists this ribosomal RNA (252 nucleotides) under uncultured bacterium. Its description in RNAcentral is "partial 16S ribosomal RNA". It matches the Rfam family "Bacterial small subunit ribosomal RNA", at positions 524 to 776 of the family's 1533-position model. The record is from RNAcentral.
UACGUAAGGACCGAGCGUUGUCCGGAAUCAUUGGGCGUAAAGGGUACGUAGGUGGUUAGGCAAGUUAGAUGUGAAAGGCUAUAGCUCAACUAUAGUAAGCUUUUAAAACUGUUUAACUUGAGAGAUGGAAAGGUAAGUGGAAUUCUUAGUGUAGCGGUGAAAUGCGCAGAUAUUAGGAAGAAUACCGGUGGCGAAGGCGACUUACUGGCCAUUAUCUGACGCUGAGGUACGAAAGCGUGGGUAGCAAACAGG